Ictalurus punctatus (channel catfish) is the source of this 308-nucleotide long non-coding RNA. RefSeq lists it as uncharacterized. The record is from RefSeq and is a predicted model, not a curated record. The transcript has 2 exons. NCBI's taxonomy places the organism in Eukaryota, Metazoa, Chordata, Actinopteri, Siluriformes, Ictaluridae.
GAAGAGGUGGCUCCAGCUGGCAUCAGAUGAAGAGAAGACUUUUGAAAACUUUUGCAAAAAGAAGCCCUUUCCAGUAGAGGUUAUAUGAUGUUCCGAUCCAUCUUUUCACACUGAGGACAAUCGAAAGACUCAUACACGACUAUUCCAAAAGGUGCAAACAUUCACUGAUGCUCAAGAAGGUAACAGCAUGCAUUAAGAGCCUGGCUGAAACGUUGUAAACAGGAUGAUCAUGUAAAUUUUUUUGUCUUCUGGGAUACUUCUUCUAUGCUGUAUUAACCAUCUUUCUGUAAUAAACCUUUUUCACCUCA